UAAUCUGCCUUUUUCAAGGCAACCAAAUAUUUUAUUUCAAGGAAUAU
Non-coding RNA from Solenopsis invicta (red fire ant), 47 nucleotides. The record is from Rfam. Lineage: Eukaryota; Metazoa; Arthropoda; Insecta; Hymenoptera; Formicidae.